Molecule: ribosomal RNA, 844 nt
Filed under: Tephrocybe platypus
Lineage: Eukaryota; Fungi; Basidiomycota; Agaricomycetes; Agaricales; Lyophyllaceae
Description: eukaryotic LSU rRNA
Rfam family: 5.8S ribosomal RNA (bases 292-445)
Source: RNAcentral
GUAAAAGUCGUAACAAGGUUUCCGUAGGUGAACCUGCGGAGGNCAUUAUUGAAUAAACUUGGUUGGGUUGCUGCUGGCUCUUAGGAGCAUGUGCACGCCUAGCGCCAUUUUUACCACCUGUGCACCCUUGUAGACCUGGAUACCUCUCGGGCCAUCUUUUUUCAAAGUUGGCACGGUUUGAGGACUGCCUCCUGGCUGUCCUUACAUUUCCGGUCUAUGUCUUUUAUACACUCUACAAGUAUGUCAUAGAAUGUCUUAUUUACUGGCCGUUGUGCCUUUAAAAUCAAAUACAACUUUCAACAACGGAUCUCUUGGCUCUCGCAUCGAUGAAGAACGCAGCGAAAUGCGUUAAGUAAUGUGAAUUGCAGAAUUCAGUGAAUCAUCGAAUCUUUGAACGCACCUUGCGCUCCUUGGUAUUCCGAGGAGCAUGCCUGUUUGAGUGUCAUUAAAUUAUCAACCUUUCUGGCUAUGUCAUGUAGCUGGUCAGGCUUGGAUGUGGGGGUUGCGGGCUUCUCAGAAGUCGGCUCUCCUUAAAUGUAUUAGUGGAGCCUUUGUUGAUUCUCGCUCUGGUGUGAUAGUUUAUCUACGCCAAAUGCAAAGUCGACGCUUUUUUAAAAAGGGGUUUUGCUAUCUAACCGUCCCUUUUAUGUGGACAACUUCUUGACAUUUGACCUCAAAUCAGGUAGGACUACCCGCUGAACUUAAGCAUAUCAAUAAGCGGAGGAAAAGAAACUAACAAGGAUUCCCCUAGUAACUGCGAGUGAAGCGGGAAAAGCUCAAAUUUAAAAUCUGGUAGUCUUUGGCUGCCCGAGUUGUAAUCUAGAGAAGUGCUAUCCGCGCUGGA